GAAAAUGGUAGAAUUACUGGAGCUUUUUUACCAGCGCAGAAAACGACAGAAUGGUUGGAGGGCGUGGGAAGCGCGGGGACGGAGGAUGAGAUAUUUGGAAGGGCGGAAGUUGACCUGCGCUGAGCUCGUGUCGAGAACCUUUACUGCUUAUACGUGCACGCAAUUCUCACACUUAGCUUCUCUACACUACUACUGACAAAACGGCGUCUCGUAAGUCCUAUUUAUGCUUCAUCCAUUUCUCUUCAUCUUCUCCGUCUCUUUCCACCAUACUGCGUAGAAUUGGAUAUGUAUGGCGUUAAUUGGUGUACUUUCGAGUCCGAGAAUGGAGUCUGUUGAGCUCCGAUGCUUUAGUCUAACGAAUUCGCCGUUUAGACGGAAUCCUUUGCCUUUGGAUCGGAGAAAAAAAAUUCCGAUUCGUUUGAAGAAGCUCGGGAUUAAUACUACUUGUUCGCUGUCCAGCGAGGCUUUGCCUAUGGUGGAUUCUGGCGGGAAGGACAAUCUUACUGGCUCUGCUUCCUUGGAGGAUGAUUUAAGCCAUGUAACUAAGUUUAGAAUGUCGGAUUUUAAGAUUCGUAACCGUGUUAGCAUUGGCUUUGGUGGCAGGGCCGGUGAACUAGUUUUUGAAGCAGUGGUGAAGGAUCCAAAUAGUCCAUUGUAUAAGACUAGAGUUGUGCUUCGGCAACACUUCAGUGCUCAAGCAAAGCGUAGAGGGAGAAGGGCAGUUGAGGUGUUAAAGAGACUAGCUCAUAGGAAACUCAUGUAUCAUUCUUACUCAAUGCAAGUUCAUGGCUAUGUGUGCUCGUCAACAACUGAUGAUAGCAGUUCAUUUACCCUAGUCCAUGGGUAUCAUGGGAGUCUCUCUUUGAGACAUUGGCUUCAACAAUCUGAUUGGCUCUCCACGUUAGAAGCUACUCUUGCCUUGGAUGAGGAAUCUGUUAGAAGGGUGGGAGAUGAUACAGUUGGUGGCCCAGCAGUUUCCAGACAGCUGCGACUCAUUCGAAUUUUGAUGAGAGAUCUCUUGAUUGGUGUAAAUUACUUGCACAGUCAUGGAUUUGCUCAUACAGAAUUGAGGCUUGAAAAUUUGCAUAUUAGCCCAGUAGAUAAGCACCUUAAAGUGGGUAUAUUGGGGAAUGCCUCUGAUUUUUAUGAAAGUGGACUUGAGGAUACCACAUCAUCAUAUGGUAAUAUGGAUAGGCGAAAAAUGAUGAUUGCAUUUGAUAUGAGGUGUGUUGGGUUCAUCAUGGCAAAAAUGGUACUAAGGGAGCUGAUGGACCCGCUGAAUUUUGCAAAGUUCAAAGCAUUCCUUACCAAGGCAAACAACCCAUCCUGUCUGCGUGAGUUUAUGCUACAUGCUUUUAGCCGAGAUUCGUCACCAGGAAACUUUGGUAUACAGAUACUUGACAGGAAUUCGGGUGCUGGUUGGCAUUUACUAUCCUCACUCCUUGCAACAAAUCCUAUGGAAAGAAUAAGUUGCUUAAAUGCUUUGAGGCAUCCAUUCUUAUGUGGACCAAAAUGGCGGGUAUACCCAUCUAUCGAGUUGAUUAGAUGGAGUCUUGGUUCAACUGCUGUUCGAAUCACAGAGGAAUACAUUUAUGCUCACCAGCAGCGAAAUAGGCUCGCACAUUUUAUUGAACUCAUGGAGAUCUUAAAUCCUCAUUCUAAACCUAAGCAUUGGCUGGAAAAGCUUCCUGGGAAAUGGCGUCUCUUAUACUGCACAGGCAAACACAUAGGGCUAACUCUCCGGCAGCCUUCAUUUCGCGUGCUUAUUGGUGACGGGCACCUUACCAUAUCCAAAUCAUCAAAACCCAAAACAACAUUUUCAGUCUCCUCCCACAUCGGUUUCAGAGUUGUGAUUGGAAAGGACUGGCCUCACGACAAGUCUGGCGUCAAUGGGGCAUUGCAAACAGGCACUUCUUUCACACUGAGAGCCGGUAGGCGGCUGUAUCUUACAGAGGAAACUACCACAACGAAGCUACCCUCAUCAUCAACACAGGAUUCUCAGGCUGCUUCUGUACAGAAACGGCUAUCCAGUAACCAGUGGAGAAAAGUCGUUCCUAUAAAGGAAUUCCCUUCGAGCCUCCCCGUAACCAAACUGAUAUCAGGCGAUAUUGAGGUGACAAUGUCUCUGGACGAGCCGCUAGUCCGGAAUGUAGAAAUGGCACAGAGGGUAGUUCAAGAAGUUAGAGUGCAAGUCCCUCCUGAAAUGUUUGAUCCUUCACAACUUGUCUGUGGAACGUACGUAGAUUCAAGGUUGCUCGUUCUUCGUAGUGUCAAUGGUUCUGCUCUCCUUUUCACAAGAUCUUGUACGCACGAAGAAUUGUGAAUAUAUUUGUUUUGUUAACUUGUAAACAAAUUCGUUAAUACUUAAUAGAUUAGCUUAUUAGCAAGAUUGCAAGGAUAUUUGUGGUAUCAAUUUUAAGGACCGUUGGUUGGGGCCCACUUUUGUUAUGUCCAAUAGUUAGGCUAUGGAUCAGGGU
This is an RNA transcript of Ipomoea nil (Japanese morning glory), 2477 nucleotides long. It is a transcript of the gene named probable plastid-lipid-associated protein 14, chloroplastic, with no coding region annotated. The record is from RefSeq and is a predicted model, not a curated record. The transcript is spliced from 15 exons. NCBI's taxonomy places the organism in Eukaryota, Viridiplantae, Streptophyta, Magnoliopsida, Solanales, Convolvulaceae.